Molecule: long non-coding RNA, 1579 nt
Organism: Prionailurus viverrinus (fishing cat)
Lineage: Eukaryota; Metazoa; Chordata; Mammalia; Carnivora; Felidae
Exons: 4
Source: RefSeq, a predicted model, not a curated record
CAGCAAAUGUGGCUGCCUUCCGGGGUCUGCUGGGACCAGGUGGCUUCAACAGUCUCUACCAAAUGUCCUUCCAGCAGUGGAACUGCUAUUCCCCGUGUAGCCUGAGAACCUCCCGGUUCCCACUCGGUUCCUGAGGAUUCACCUUUCCGACCAGAGCACUGCCAGUCUACCACAGGUCUUUGAGAUGGGUUAGUGUUUUCAAAACGGGAAGGCCCAGAGACCACGGAUGCUUGAGAACUUGCCUGAGGACACCCACCUGGAGUGGAAGAAGAAGAGAUUCUGGAAGCCACACUCCCAUGGGCUGAGACCUUCUCACUGAAAAAUGUGAAUGAAGUUUGGAGAGGAAACUUGUCACUUGCCCAUGGUCACUGAAGGAACUGCCGUGUGGGCUGGGGGGAUGGGAGCCCAUCUGAUGCCCAGUCUCCACCACCAGAGGCAGGACAGUGAGAUACCCACAGCACUACCCAUUCAACUUGGCACAGAGUUCGGGACCCUGUUGUCUGGUUUGAAUCCCAAGCUGUACCACCUACUAAUGGUGUGAAUUUAGACAAGUUAACGAAUCAUUCUGUGCCUCAGUCUCUUGAUCUGUAAACUGAGAAUAACAGUACCUGUAGUAAGGGAUGUUGCAUUGAUUACGUGUAAAACCCACAGAACAGUGCCCAAUAUCUGUAGCAAUCGCUAAAUGAAAGGUACCGUCACUCUCCGACAAUCCUGCCUCCUGAAUACCAACACGGCAACACAGCAGCCAAUAGCUUAAAUCCGUGUUCUUCAACUGACGGCGAGUUUGUUCCCCUGGGGACACUUGGCAAUUGCAAAGACGUGUUUGGUGGUCACAACUCGGGGCCAGAGAUAUUAUUAAAUACCCUCCAGUGAACAAGACGGCUCCUCCCACAACAAAGAAGUGUGUAGCCCAAGUGUCAGUAGGUCCGAGGUUAAGAAACUCUGCCCUGAACCGAACACAAAUGAGGUAAAGAGUAUUUUGCCAGAUAUGAGGAGGCACUAAGUUGAAAUCAGAAGCCCCCAUCCUAGUGGAGGAAGGCCAGACAAUACACAAAUAAAUAAACAAGAAACUACUGGAUGACAGUAAAUGCUGUGAGAAAAAUAAAGCAGGAACAGAGCAUGAUCGGGUCGGGCUGCUUCAGACUGGACGAGCAGAAAGUCUUCCUAGAAGAGGUGACAUUUAAACUGGAACCUUCUGUCAUUGAAGAUCUGAGCAAAGAGCACGGAGCUGGCAAAGGGACAGGUUUUGCAGAGAUACCACAGUAGGGACAACCUGGAUGUGCCUCAGGAGCAGAAUAGGAAGCUAGUGCUGAGGAAGGAGGUAGAAAGGCAAGUGAAAUUCCAAUCAGGCCACACAGAAUGGCUUCUUUUGGACAAUGCUGCCUCGUGGUGUACUCCCUAGGAAAAAAUGUUGCCUCAAAGCACCUGAUGGUAACUAAAAUACAUGAUUUGGUAUGUGGCAUAAAUUUUAAGUUGGUCUUUUUCCUCCUUUAGGGAGCAAUAAGAGGGAGCCUCUUUCCUAGCAGUAAAUUAGUUAACAAUAAAUUAGCCAAUUAUUGGAAUUGCUGUUUCUGUUUGA